Molecule: ribosomal RNA, 434 nt
Filed under: uncultured bacterium
Lineage: Bacteria
Description: partial 16S ribosomal RNA
Rfam family: Bacterial small subunit ribosomal RNA
Source: RNAcentral
ACGGAAGGCAGCAGUGGGGAAUAUUGCACAAUGGGGGAAACCCUGAUGCAGCGACGCCGCGUGAACGAUGAAGUAUUUCGGUAUGUAAAGUUCUAUCAGCAGGGAAGAUAAUGACGGUACCUGACUAAGAAGCACCGGCUAAAUACGUGCCAGCAGCCGCGGUAAUACGUAUGGUGCAAGCGUUAUCCGGAUUUACUGGGUGUAAGGGGUGCGUAGGUGGCAUGGCAAGUCUGAAGUGAAAUGCGGGGGCUCAACCCCUGAACUGCUUUGGAAACUGUCAAGCUUGAGUACAGGAGAGGAAAGCGGAAUUCCUAGUGUAGCGGUGAAAUGCGUAGAUAUUAGGAGGAACACCAGUGGCGAAGGCGGCUUUCUGGACUGUAACUGACACUGAGGCACGAAAGCGUGGGGAGCAAACAGGAUUAGAUACCCUGGUA